This is a long non-coding RNA of Mus musculus (house mouse), 403 nucleotides long. RefSeq annotates it as predicted gene, 41425. NCBI's taxonomy places the organism in Eukaryota, Metazoa, Chordata, Mammalia, Rodentia, Muridae. The transcript has 3 exons. The record is from RefSeq and is a predicted model, not a curated record.
CGCAGCUUGAUGACGCUAUUUCCGGGUUGUGUGUCUGGAUAGCGGCGUCUAUUUCUGAAGAUAGGGAAAGGCUUCUACCCAUCUCAAGAACAUAUCCACAAAAGCCAGAAGAUAGCUGCUUCCAUCUGUGAACCAGUAACUUCUGUGCCCUCUAGUGGCUGGUCUAUCAGAUCUUCAUGCCACCCAUGUGCCUCUGCAAGAACUUGCUGACAGUCUGGGUCUGGGAGCAGGAGAGGAUUCCCUUAAUCCUGCAGAGACUUGAUGCCCCAGGGUGAAGAGAAUGAGGGGAGAGGGCACCCUCUCAGAGGUGAAGAGGAGGAUGGGUGGGGGAAAGAACUCAAGAGGGGACCAGGAGGGGAGCAACAUUUGUGAUGUUAAUAAAUAUAAUAAUUAUUAAUAAAAA